AAUGUUUAUGUAAUCUAUAUUUGGUAUUACGAUUUUGUUACUAACUUAUCAAGUCACUUGGAUUGAAAAAUUAUUAAAAACUAGCUAGUAUACUCUUCUUCUUAGUAGGCUAAUAAUGAUUCCCAUUAAGUAUGGAAAUAUAAAUACUUACUAAUUCAUGAUAAUUUAGUAUUCGUACCACCUAGGAAUAUGUAAUGGUUUUACUACUUCACUAACACCUUUUACAACUAUUCAACUAGAGAUAAAUGGUAAUAAUUUUAAUACUUUUAACAGAAAAUAUGGAGAAUUACCGAGGUAUUACAAACUGUGAAUCAAACGAGUUGUAAAGAUGAAAUAGCUAUUGUAUCAAAUUACAUACAUCAAGACUUUUUUAAAAAUAAAAACCAAACUCUUAAAUUCUAAUCACACAAUAAAAUGCUCGUACCGAAUAAUUACUAAUCAU
Molecule: long non-coding RNA, 442 nt
Filed under: Ananas comosus (pineapple)
Lineage: Eukaryota; Viridiplantae; Streptophyta; Magnoliopsida; Poales; Bromeliaceae
Description: long non-coding RNA (ACOM_LNC019518)
Source: RNAcentral